Molecule: long non-coding RNA, 1246 nt
Organism: Carya illinoinensis
Lineage: Eukaryota; Viridiplantae; Streptophyta; Magnoliopsida; Fagales; Juglandaceae
Exons: 5
Source: RefSeq, a predicted model, not a curated record
UCCUCUUUCUCGCCUCCCCCCCACCUAUGCCAUCCCCUCCCGUGACCACCCUAGCUAGCUUGCGCUACCGCCGUCGACAACACCACGAUGCUGUCGCCGAACCCCUUCUCCCUCUCCUCCUCCUUUCUCUCCGUCCACCAUUGCGCCCUUACCCUUACUCUACUCCCUCUCUAUUUCUCUGUUUUCUCCCCCUCCUUGUCGUCAUGCACCGUCACAAGCCUAGUCACCGGCGUCGAUUUCCUCUCAGCCGUGCGAGAAGCUCUCUCACAUCCACUCAAGUUUCUUCCUCUUCAAGCUCCGAUACCCCACGAUCUCUCCCUCAUCUCUCUGUUUCUCUCAUCUCUAUAAGAGCCCCUUUUAGUUUUUCUGAUUAACUAAGAACUUGGUUUUCAAAUUUUAAUUUUUUUUGUAGAUGGUUGGAUAACUCAAUAAUUCCCUCUUGACUUCUCCACGUCGUUGUCGCAACCUGCAUUCAAGCCACCAUCAUAUAUAUGCUUUCAUAUGAGAUUCUUUUUGUGAUUUAGGGUAUAAUGAAUUUGGUACCAAUGGUGGACUCGCUACAAAGGAGUUGGCUAUGAAAUUUGCUAUUCUCCAAAAAAUCCUACCUUCCAAAUUGGGGGUCUGGGUGCUUGAUGUUGAUGUUUGACAUAUAGCUGCAAUCAAUAUUGCUAUGAAAGUGAUUGGGGGCGUUAUGUUUGUAUUUUACAGCUCCUAUGCAGCUUUUGUCAUGGUUCCAAAGGACAAAGACGAGCUUGCAGCUCUCCAAGCAAGGCUGAGGAGGCAUUUCCCUGUUGAUGCGUACAAUAAAUCUCGAUGAGAACUGGACCCAAACGGCAUCCUUUCUAAUAACAAGCUGGACAAGCUGUUCCCAUUACCAGUUAUCAUUUGAGAAGCAUUAUUUCUUGGUAAUUUGGCUUCAUUGGUGUUGAUAUUUGAGCAUGAAAUGGAGUUGUAUAAAGAUGAAUUAUUUUGAAGUGUUGCGAUUAAGUGAUGGAGCAGUUUUGAGUUUGUAAAGGAUUUGGUAUCGGUGUCUAAAACUUGAAUGUACUGGGAAUGGAUAAGUUUGUAAAAAUAAAUGUAUUGGGAAUGGAUAAUUAGUUUGGCCCUUUCUCUUUUUAAAUUAUUAUAAGUGUCAAUUUUAAUCUCUAAUAUUGGAAUAUAUUUAUUUAAGCCUAUAUUAGACUAUUUGUUAUGAUUAUUUUUAGCUAAAUCUCUUUUUUCUUCUUUUCUUUUUUUUUUGCAUUUU